Molecule: ribosomal RNA, 424 nt
Filed under: uncultured prokaryote
Description: bacterial SSU rRNA
Rfam family: Bacterial small subunit ribosomal RNA
Source: RNAcentral
UGGGGAAUAUUGGACAAUGGGGGCAACCCUGAUCCAGCCAUGCCGCGUGAGUGAUGAAGGCCUUAGGGUUGUAAAGCUCUUUCAGCAGGGACGAUAAUGACGGUACCUGCAGAAGAAGCCCCGGCUAACUCCGUGCCAGCAGCCGCGGUAAUACGGAGGGGGCAAGCGUUGUUCGGAUUUACUGGGCGUAAAGGGCGCGUAGGCGGGCGAUCAAGUCAGGGGUGAAAGGCCUGGGCUCAACCUGGGACGUGCCUUUGAAACUGAUUGUCUUGAGUGCGGGAGAGGGUGACGGAAUUCCCAGUGUAGAGGUGAAAUUCGUAGAUAUUGGGAAGAACACCGGUGGCGAAGGCGGUCACCUGGCCCGCAACUGACGCUGAGGCGCGAAAGCGUGGGGAGCAAACAGGAUUAGAUACCCCCGUAGUCC